UACGUAGGGUGCAAGCGUUAAUCGGAAUUACUGGGCGUAAAGUGUGCGCAGGCGGCCGAGCAAGUCGAGUGUGAAAUCACCGGGCUUAACUUGGGAAUUGCGCUCGAAACUACUUGGCUGGAGUGUGGCAGAGGAAGGUGGAAUUCCACGUGUAGCGGUGAAAUGCGUAGAGAUGUGGAGGAACACCGAUGGCGAAGGCAGCCUUCUGGGCCAACACUGACGCUCAUGCACGAAAGCGUGGGGAGCAAACAGG
RNAcentral lists this ribosomal RNA (253 nucleotides) under uncultured bacterium. RNAcentral describes it as "partial 16S ribosomal RNA". It matches the Rfam family "Bacterial small subunit ribosomal RNA", at positions 524 to 776 of the family's 1533-position model. The record is from RNAcentral.